RNAcentral lists this small RNA (923 nucleotides) under uncultured Conexibacter sp. Its description in RNAcentral is "bacterial SSU rRNA". The stretch from base 1 to 471 matches the Rfam family "Bacterial small subunit ribosomal RNA", at positions 1064 to 1533 of the family's 1533-position model. The record is from RNAcentral. Lineage: Bacteria; Bacillati; Actinomycetota; Thermoleophilia; Solirubrobacterales; Conexibacteraceae.
GUCGUGAGAUGUUGGGUUAAGUCCCGCAACGAGCGCAACCCCCGUCGCAUGUUGCCAGCAUUUAGUUGGGGACUCAUGCGAGACUGCCGGUGACAAACCGGAGGAAGGUGGGGAUGACGUCAAGUCAUCAUGCCCCUUAUGUUCAGGGCUACACACGUGCUACAUUGGCGCGUACAGAGGGCUGCGAUACCGCGAGGUGGAGCGAAUCCCUUAAAGCGCGUCUCGGUUCGGAUUGUAGGCUGAAACCCGCCUACAUGAAGGUGGAGUUGCUAGUAAUCGCGGAUCAGCAUUGCCGCGGUGAAUACGUUCCCGGGCCUUGUACACACCGCCCGUCACACCACGGGAGUGAGCAACACCCGAAGCCGGUGGCCUAACCCGCAAGGGAGGGAGCCGUCGAAGGUGGGGCUCGUGACUGGGGUGAAGUCGUAACAAGGUAGCCGUACCGGAAGGUGCGGCUGGAUCACCUCCUUUCUAGGGAGCCCCGUAACGGGGCCCGUACGGCACGGCGCCAUCGCCGGCUCGUCGCCUUCGUCUCGCCCUUCGGGGCAGGACCUCGCGGCGAGCAUGAUGCGAUGGUCACCGACCGUGCGGCCUAGUAUGUCGACCGAACCUGGCGUGAGCGAGCUGCGCAUACCGCGCCGCUUUAGCUCACUGCAUGCUGUUGAGUUUUGAGAGACUGGCCCGCGAGUCCCGCGGGGCGCCUCCCCGCGGCCCUUGAAAACUGCACAGUAGCCACAUCGCCGUCGUGACGAUAAGCACGACGGCGACGGGUAUCACCGAACCGCCGCGGAAGCGGAGGGUUCGAUCACCGUCAAGAUAAUAAGGGCACAUGGUGGAUGCCUUGGCACCUAGAGUCGAUGAAGGGCGUGAACGGCUGCGAUAAGCCACGGUGAGGCGCUGAAUAGCCUUUGACCCGUGGAUGC